GAUGAACGCUGGCGGCGUGCCUAAUACAUGCAAGUCGAGCGAACGGACGAGAAGCUUGCUUCUCUGAUGUUAGCGGCGGACGGGUGAGUAACACGUGGAUAACCUACCUAUAAGACUGGGAUAACUUCGGGAAACCGGAGCUAAUACCGGAUAAUAUUUUGAACCGCAUGGUUCAAAAGUGAAAGACGGUCUUGCCGUCACUUAUAGAUGGAUCCGCGCUGCAUUAGCUAGUUGGUAAGGUAACGGCUUACCAAGGCAACGAUGCAUAGCCGACCUGAGAGGGUGAUCGGCCACACUGGAACUGAGACACGGUCCAGACCCCUACGGGAGGCAGCAGUAGGGAAUCUUCCGCAAUGGGCGAAAGCCUGACGGAGCAACGCCGCGUGAGUGAUGAAGGUCCUCGGAUCGUAAAACUCUGUUAUUAGGGAAGAACAUAUGUGUAAGUAACUGUGCACAUCUUGACGGUACCUAAUCAGAAAGCCACGGCUAACUACGUG
Molecule: ribosomal RNA, 497 nt
Filed under: uncultured bacterium
Lineage: Bacteria
Description: partial 16S ribosomal RNA
Rfam family: Bacterial small subunit ribosomal RNA
Source: RNAcentral